Molecule: ribosomal RNA, 115 nt
Filed under: uncultured bacterium
Lineage: Bacteria
Description: partial 16S ribosomal RNA
Rfam family: Bacterial small subunit ribosomal RNA
Source: RNAcentral
UACGGUGAAUACGUUCCCGGACCUUGUACACACCGCCCGUCAAGCCAUGGAAGCCGGGUGUACUAAAGUCGAUAACCGUAAGGAGUCGCCUAGGGUAAAACUGGUGACUGGGGCU